CGAGCCGGCCGGACGGCCGCGGCGGGCCCGAAGAGGGUCCGUCGAGGAAGGUCCGGGCUCCACAGGGCAGGGUGGUCGGUAACACCGACCCGGGGUGACCCGCGGGAAAGUGCCACAGAAAGCAGACCGCCUUCCGCGCUUCGCGGGAGGUAAGGGUGAAAGGGUGGUGUAAGAGACCACCAGCGCUCGCGGUGACGCGGGCGGCUAGGUAAACCCCACCCGGAGCAAGGUCAAGAAGGAGCGGUCCGUGAGGACCGCUCCGCGCGCGGCGUUUGAGGGCGGCCCGUCCGAGCCGCGCGGGUAGACCGCUAGAGGCCGUCGGCAACGGCGGUCCCAGAUGGAUGGCCGUCGCCCCUUCGGGGGUACAGAACCCGGCCUACAGGCUGACUCGUCCG
This 395-nucleotide RNase P RNA is filed under the name Thermostaphylospora chromogena. RNAcentral describes it as "Thermomonospora chromogena Bacterial RNase P class A". It matches the Rfam family "Bacterial RNase P class A". From Rfam's summary of the family: Ribonuclease P (RNase P) is a ubiquitous endoribonuclease, found in archaea, bacteria and eukarya as well as chloroplasts and mitochondria. Its best characterised activity is the generation of mature 5'-ends of tRNAs by cleaving the 5'-leader elements of precursor-tRNAs. Cellular RNase Ps are ribonucleoproteins. Lineage: Bacteria; Bacillati; Actinomycetota; Actinomycetes; Streptosporangiales; Thermomonosporaceae. The record is from Rfam by way of RNAcentral.